This 3284-nucleotide ribosomal RNA is filed under the name Chlorella heliozoae. Its description in RNAcentral is "bacterial LSU rRNA". It matches the Rfam family "Bacterial large subunit ribosomal RNA". Lineage: Eukaryota; Viridiplantae; Chlorophyta; Trebouxiophyceae; Chlorellales; Chlorellaceae. The record is from RNAcentral.
AACAACAAGGUCAAAUGACUUAAGGCGUAGGGUGGAUACCUAGGCACCUAGAGACGAUGAAGGGCGUGGAACCGACGAAACGCUUCGGGGAGCUGGAAACAAGCAAUGAUCCGGAGAUUCCCGAAUAGGGCAACCUCUUGUACUUCUAACUGAAUUCAUAAGUUAGAAAGAGGCAACUCAGUGAACUGAAACAUCUUAGUAGCUGAAGGAAAAGAAAGCAAAAGCGAUUCCCUGAGUAGUGGCGAGCGAAAUGGGAACAGCCUAAACCAAGUUUUAAACUUGGGGUCGUGGGAAAACAUCUGCGUCAAAAUUUGCAUUUUGACGAUAAAACUAUUCAUAAAAAAUUUAGACGAAGCAGCUGAAACCUGCACCAUAGAUGGUGAAAGUCCAGUAGUUAAAAAAUUAAAAUGAGUAGCUGUUUAUCCCGAGUAGCAUGGGACACGUGAAAUCCCGUGUGAAUCAGCGAGGACCACCUCGUAAGGCUAAAUACUCCUAGGUGACCGAUAGCGAAAUAGUACCGUGAGGGAAAGGUGAAAAGAACCCCUGUAGGGGAGUGAAAUAGAACAUGAAACCCUAUGCUGACAAUCAGUGGGAGACACUUGAGUGUUGACCGCGUGCCUGUUGAAGAAUGAGCCGGCGACUUAGAAAACGUGGCAAGGUUAAGGACAUGUAUCCGGAGCCGAAGCAAAAGCAAGUCUGAAUAGGGCGAUGAAGUCAUUUUUUCUAGACCCGAACCCGGGUGAUCUAACCAUGACCAGGAUGAAACUUGGGUGACACCAAGUGAAGGUCCGAACCGACCGAUGUUGAAAAAUCGGCGGAUGAGUUGUGGUUAGCGGUGAAAUACCAGUCGAACUCGGAGCUAGCUGGUUCUCCCCGAAAUGCGUUGAGGCGCAGCGGUUCAUAAGGCUGUCUAGGGGUAAAGCACUGUUUCGGUGCGGGCUGCGAAAGCGGUACCAAAUCGUGGCAAACUCUGAAUACUAGAUAUGCUAUUUAUGGGCCAGUGAGACAGUGGGGGAUAAGCUUCAUUGUCGAGAGGGAAACAGCCCAGAUCACUAGCUAAGGCCCCAAAAUGAUCGUUAAGUGACAAAGGAGGUGAGAAUGCUGAAACAACCAGGAGGUUUGCUUAGAAGCAGCCACCCUUUAAAGAGUGCGUAAUAGCUCACUGGUGGAGCGUUCUUGCGCCGAAAAUGUCCGGGACUAAAUGAUCUGCCGAAGCUGUGGGAUAUUUUUGAAAAAUAUCGGUAGGGGAGCGUUCUGCUGUAGGGUGAAGCGCUCAUGUAAAGGAGCGUGGACGAAGCGGAAGUGAGAAUGUCGGCUUGAGUAACGCAAACAUUGGUGAGAAUCCAAUGCCCCGAAAACCUAAGGAUUCCUCCACUAGGUUCGUCCAUGGAGGGUGAGUCAGGACCUAAGGCGAGGCCGAAAGGCGUAGUCGAUGGCAAACAGGUUAAUAUUCCUGUACUGUUUUAUGUUUGGUACCAAGGGACGGAGCAGGCAGAGAUUGGCCGAGAUUGGAUUUCGGUGGAAACUUUCGACAUGAUGAGAGGUAGAAUAAAAACUAACCUUGAGUAGAGAAGUGAUACGACAUUUCUUUCUGAGAAAUGCCCAGUUGACUGUCAUACUUCCAAGAAAAGCUUGAACUACUGUAUAACAUAAAAUACCUGUACCGUAAACCGACACAGGUGGGUUAGUAGAGUAUACUAAGGGGCGCGAGAUAACUCUCUCUAAGGAACUCGGCAAAAUGACCCCGUAACUUCGGGAGAAGGGGUGCCAAGUAACUUCAAAUUGCUUGGUCGCAGUGACCAGGCCCUGGCGACUGUUUAUCAAAAACACAGGUCUCCGCAAAGUCGUAAGACAACAUAUGGGGGCUGACGCCUGCCCAGUGCCGGAAGGUUAAAGAAGUUGGUUAUUCAUUCGUGGAGAAGCUGACGACUGAAGCCCCGGUGAACGGCGGCCGUAACUAUAACGGUCCUAAGGUAGCGAAAUUCCUUGUCGGGUAAGUUCCGACCCGCACGAAAGGCGUAACGAUCAGGGCACUGUCUCGGAGAGAGACUCGGUGAAAUAGACAUGUCUGUGAAGAUGCGGACUACCUGCACCUGGACAGAAAGACCCUAUGAAGCUUAACUGUAGCUUGGAAUUGGGUUCGGGCUCUUCUUGCGCAGCCUAGGUGGGAGGCGUUGAAGGUUUUCUCUUGGGAAAACUGGAGCCAACAGUGAGAGACCACUCUGGAGGAGCUAGAAUUCUAAUGGCGUUCCGUGAAGCCGGACGCUUGACAGUUUCAGGUGGGCAGUUUGACUGGGGCGGUCACCUCCUAAAAGGUAACGGAGGUGUGCAAAGGUUCCCUCAGGCUGGACGGAAAUCAGCCGGAGAGUGUAAAGGCAGAAGGGAGCUUGACUGCAAGACCUACAAGUCGAGCAGGGGCGAAAGCCGGCCUUAGUGAUCCGACGGUUCCAUGUGGAAGGGCCGUCGCUCAACGGAUAAAAGUUACUCUAGGGAUAACAGGCUGAUCUUCCCCAAGAGUUCACAUCGACGGGAAGGUUUGGCACCUCGAUGUCGGCUCAUCGCAACCUGGGGCGGUAGUACGUCCCAAGGGUUGGGCUGUUCGCCCAUGAAAGCGGUACGUGAGCUGGGUUCAGAACGUCGUAGACACUUGCGACCUAGGCUUGUGAAGGCCUAGUAAAAUCCUUCUCAUAUCGGAGAAACCCUACCAGGACACUGAAGGGCAACCCCGAGGGAAGUUGUAAAACCUCUUUCUUUCUCUUUUCUUUCCAGAAAAGAUGGGUUCAUCCGUGAACCAAGGUUUUAUUAACCCCGUAACGACUGAAUAGGAAACUAUUCGAUGGCUCUUGACAACACAGAGGCAUAACACGAAGGCUCUUGCGAGAAAAGACGCAAGAUGAUGGUAUAGUCUAUCCCACUAGUAAUAGUGGAGUUCCUUGAGUGAUCAAGGUGUUCUAAGUUGCUCAUCACACGAUGAGGAAUAUGAAUAGAUUGGAGACAGUUCGGUCCAUAUCCGGUGUAGGCGCUAGAGCAUUGAGAGGAGUCUUCCAUAGUACGAGAGGACCUGGAAGAACACACCUCUGGUAUACCAGUUAUCGUGCCAACGGUACACGCUGGGUAGCCAUGUGUGGAGUGGAUAACCGCUGAAAGCAUCUAAGUGGGAAGCCCACCUCAAGAUGAGUGCUCUCUAUGAGGUCACAGGAAGACAACCUGUUUGAUAGGCAGAAGGUGUAAGGCCAGUAAUGGUUUCAGCUGAUCUGUACUAAUAGACCCAUUGAUUUUGACCA